Molecule: ribosomal RNA, 463 nt
Filed under: uncultured bacterium
Lineage: Bacteria
Description: partial 16S ribosomal RNA
Rfam family: Bacterial small subunit ribosomal RNA
Source: RNAcentral
GACGAACGCUGGCGGCGUGCUUAACACAUGCAAGUCGAACGGAAAGGCCUUUUCGGAGGUACUCGAGUGGCGCACGGGUGAGUAACACGUGGGUGAUCUGCCCUGCACUCUGGGAUAAGCCUGGGAAACUGGGUCUAAUACCGGAUAGGACCGCACUUUAGUGUGUGUGGUGGAAAGUUUUUUCGGUGUAGGAUGAGCCCGCGGCCUAUCAGCUUGUUGGUGGGGUAAUGGCCUACCAAGGCGGCGACGGGUAGCCGGACUGAGAGGUUGGUCGGCCACAUUGGGACUGAGAUACGGCCCAGACUCCUACGGGAGGCAGCAGUGGGGAAUAUUGCACAAUGGGCGCAAGCCUGAUGCAGCGACGCCGCGUGGGGGAUGACGGCCUUCGGGUUGUAAACGCCUUUCGCCAGGGACGAAGCGUUUUGUGACGGUACCUGGAGAAGAAGCACCGGCUAACCACGUG